This 254-nucleotide ribosomal RNA is filed under the name uncultured bacterium. RNAcentral's name for it is "partial 16S ribosomal RNA". It matches the Rfam family "Bacterial small subunit ribosomal RNA", at positions 524 to 776 of the family's 1533-position model. The record is from RNAcentral.
UACAGAGGUGGCAAGCGUUGUUCGGAAUUACUGGGCGUAAAGGGCGCGUAGGCGGCCUUCUAAGUCAGACGUGAAAUCCCCCGGCUUAACCUGGGAACUGCGUCUGAUACUGGAGGGCUUGAGUAUGGGAGAGGGAUGUAGAAUUCCAGGUGUAGCGGUGAAAUGCGUAGAUAUCUGGAGGAAUACCGGUGGCGAAGGCGGCAUCCUGGACCAUUACUGACGCUGAGGCGCGAAAAGCUAGGGGAGCAAACGGG